This 464-nucleotide ribosomal RNA is filed under the name uncultured bacterium. RNAcentral's name for it is "partial 16S ribosomal RNA". It matches the Rfam family "Bacterial small subunit ribosomal RNA", at positions 28 to 507 of the family's 1533-position model. The record is from RNAcentral.
GACGAACGCUGGCGGCGUGCUUAACACAUGCAAGUCGAACGGAAAGGCCCCUUUGGGGGUACUCGAGUGGCGAACGGGUGCGUAACACGUGAGUAACCUGCCCUUGACUUCGGGAUAACUUCAGGAAACUGGGGCUAAUACCGGAUAGGAAUCCUUGCUGCAAGGUGGGGGUUGGAAAGCUUCGGCGGUUUUGGAUGGACUCGCGGCUUAGCAGCUUGUUGGUGGGGAGUGGCUGACCAAGGCCUGGACGGGUAGCCGGCCUGAGAGGGCGACCCGCCACCUUGGGACUGAGAUGCGGCCCAGACUCCUACGGGAGGCAGCAGUGGGGAAUAUUGCACAAUGGGCGGAAGCCUGAUGCAGCAGCGCCGCGGGCGGGAUGACGGCCUUCGGGUUGUAAACCGCUUUCAGCAGGGGCGAAGCUUGUGGUGACGGUACCUGCAGAAGAAGCACCGGCUAACUACGUG